AGAAAACGUUUUUACAUUGAAUGUGAUGUGACCUGAUUAACUGCAUACGUGUGACAACAUAUUAGCCCAGAGUUGAAGGGCUGUGACUGUUGGUAGUUGCGGUUGAUUUUGUUUAAAUAUGCCGAAUUGUGAUAUUAUGUGUUAAUUUGUUAGAUGAUUUAGCUAACAGCUGCUAACGUCAGCAGUCUCUUGUUGCCAUAGCAACAGAAAACAUUGACAUUACACUAAUGAGCUGUAAAUAGAGAUGGAGAAUCAAGCUGUAUUGUAAAUACAGAUGAGAUACUUUUAAUUUUAGAUCAAAAUACAAGUAAACCUAUAGGAAAUAAUUAGUUUAAUUUGCAAUAUAUUUGCCAUUGAAUUUAUUGUAAUCUUUCAAUUAACUAUUUUUAAAAUAACUAUUUUUUAGGUAUAAUUUGUGUGUAACUUUAAUUUCUGUGUAAAUGUGUUACUUUUACUGUAGUUUUCAAAUGGCUGUGUAUAGUGCUGUCUUGAACAUUUUCAGGUAUCGUCACAAAGAUUUGACUUUUUUUGCAUUGUUAAACACGGAGGUUUUAUUGUGCUUAUGUGUUGAUCCUUAAUGGUGUGAUUAUGUACACUAAAUUAUCAAUUAUUUUCCAUUACAGGUUGUUCUGAUAUAUUUGAGGAGUCGUUCACCCUCUGUUCUAUAUGUGGACUCAUUUGGGACCACCUUUAGAAUUUGGUUGACCACUUGAAAUGUAAGAGUUUGAGGAGUUGUUCCCCCUCUGUCCAUGUUCGAGGACUUGCUCUCUCUCUGCCUUCAUUGCACCAAAGUUUGGCUGUUGAGUCUCCUCUAGUAUGGUUGACCACUUGACUUGUGAGAGUUUGAGGAGUUGUUCCCCCUCCGUCCAUUUUCAAGGACUUGCUCUCUUACUGCUUCCACUUCACCACUUUUUGGCUACUGAGACGUCUUUUAUUUGUUGAGUUCAUUCAUUCAUUCAUCAUCUACCGCUUAUCCUGUACAGAGAGCCAAUCACUCUGUCCCCUUUUGAAGACCUGCUUUGUCUCCUCCAUCAUUCAUUGGGCCACUUUUGGGUUCCUGAUCUUAUUUCAUGUGUUCUUCUUUCUAUGAUUCUUGAGAGAGAGAGAG
Centropristis striata (black sea bass) is the source of this 1108-nucleotide long non-coding RNA. RefSeq lists it as uncharacterized. The record is from RefSeq and is a predicted model, not a curated record. The transcript has 5 exons. Lineage: Eukaryota; Metazoa; Chordata; Actinopteri; Perciformes; Serranidae.